Long non-coding RNA from Cervus elaphus (red deer), 1010 nucleotides. RefSeq lists it as uncharacterized. Lineage: Eukaryota; Metazoa; Chordata; Mammalia; Artiodactyla; Cervidae. The transcript has 3 exons. The record is from RefSeq and is a predicted model, not a curated record.
AAGUUCUGUGAAUCCUUAGAUAUCUUUCUGCUUUCCUUAGUAGACAAGCCAGCUUAAGGCAAAGACUGUACAAAUUCCUUAAGUUGCCUAGAAUGACUGAAUUCUCAGAACUGUGUGUGCACAUUCCUCCUGUUUUUUUCCCCCAAGCAUUUCUAGAUACAGAAGAAGUGAAAGAACUAGAGCCUCCACCUUAAAGGCAGUAUAAGUAAUUAGAAUAGAGACUAGGGCAGAGGAAAGAGCUUUUCUAACUGAAUUUUCACAAUAACCCUGUGAGGUCAGCGUCAUUGCUAUCAUCUCACUUAUGAGGAAUCAGAGACUCAGGGUAAAUUACUUUCUUGAGAUUGUGCAGUGGGUUUGGAUUCUAACCCAGGUCUCUGACUACAAGACCAUGUUGGUACAUUUCACUAUGCAACUUCUUACAGAGGCCCUUGUGUGAGAGACAAGUGUGAAUACAAGUGUGCCGCCAAUUAACUGAUGAUUAGCUUCGUACAAACCUGUCUGUGCUGCUUAGUCUCCAUUUUUCUCUCCAGUCCCCUUCUCCACCGUCCUCUGCAUAUCUGGGGAGACUGACCUACUGCCUGGCCUCUGGCCUCCAGUUGGGACUGUAGAAUCGCCUCCAAGAGACUGGAGUAUGGAAGAGAAGGAGGUUGAGAUAUAUUUGUUCACCCCUCACCCCGUGGUUUGGCAGUCGCUCUUUCUCAACUUUAAAGCCACAGCUCGGGUGCCCACUAUGUGCCUCUCAUUCGUUCCUAGUCAGAGUCCUGUUUCUUUACCUCGGUGGAGGGGACAGGGCCUGGAGGAAGAUGAUGCCCCAGUCCUGGCAGAGCUCCUGUGUCUGCUUUGUGGGAAUUUAGAGACAGCCUGUUAGUUUCCAUGUGGGAAAGUAGAUUUAACCCGAGUCUAAUUUUCUUCGUCUGUAAAAUGGUGGCAGGAACACGCACCUGCUGGUUACAUGAGUACACGUGAAGGCCACAUCGCAGAGGCUGCCCCAGGAGAGGAGUUCACAGAUG